UAGUCCACGCUGUAAACGAUGAAGACUAGCCGUUUGUUGUCAUUAAGGCAGUGGGUGGUGGAGCUAACGCAAUAAGUAUUCCGCCUGGGGAGUACGGUCGCAAGACUGAAACUCAAAGGAAUUGACGGGGACCCGCACAAGCAGCGGAGCAUGUGGUUUAAUUCGAAGCAACGCGAAGAACCUUACCAAAUCUUGACAUCCCGAUGACCGAUACUUAAUCGUAUCUUUCACUUCGGUGACAUCGGUGACAGGUGGUGCAUGGUUGUCGUCAGCUCGUGUCGUGAGAUGUUGGGUUAAGUCCCGCAACGAGCGCAACCCUUAUAUUUAGUUGCCAUCAGGUUAAGCUGGGCACUCUAGAUAGACUGCCGUGGACAACACGGAGGAAGGCGGGGAUGACGUCAAAUCAUCAUGCCCCUUAUGAUUUGGGCUACACACGUGCUACAAUGGUUGGUACAACAGGAAGCGAAAGGGUGACCUGGAGCAAAUCCUCCGAAGCCAAUCCC
This 503-nucleotide ribosomal RNA is filed under the name uncultured bacterium. Its description in RNAcentral is "bacterial SSU rRNA". It matches the Rfam family "Bacterial small subunit ribosomal RNA", at positions 791 to 1289 of the family's 1533-position model. The record is from RNAcentral.